This 87-nucleotide transfer RNA is filed under the name bacterium. RNAcentral's name for it is "tRNA-Leu". It matches the Rfam family "tRNA". Rfam says of the family: Transfer RNA (tRNA) molecules are approximately 80 nucleotides in length. Their secondary structure includes four short double-helical elements and three loops (D, anti-codon, and T loops). Further hydrogen bonds mediate the characteristic L-shaped molecular structure. tRNAs have two regions of fundamental functional importance: the anti-codon, which is responsible for specific mRNA codon recognition, and the 3' end, to which the tRNAs corresponding amino acid is attached (by aminoacyl-tRNA synthetases). tRNAs cope with the degeneracy of the genetic code in two manners: having more than one tRNA (with a specific anti-codon) for a particular amino acid; and 'wobble' base-pairing, i.e. permitting non-standard base-pairing at the 3rd anti-codon position. The record is from RNAcentral.
GCCGAAGUGGCGGAAUUGGUAGACGCGCGGGUCUCAAAAACCCGUUCAGGCAACUGAGUGAGGGUUCGAUUCCCUCCUUCGGCACCA